CCACGCUGUAAACUAUGAUUACUCAGAGUAUGCGAUAUAAUGUAUGCUCUCAAGCGAAAGCAUUAAGUAAUCCACCUGGGGAGUACGUCGGCAACGAUGAAACUCAAAGGAAUUGACGGGGGCCCGCACAAGCGGAGGAACAUGUGGUUUAAUUCGAUGAUACGCGAGGAACCUUACCUGGGAUUGAAAUGUAUAGGCCGGCUUUUGGAAACAAGAGUCAUUCACUUCGGUGACUUAUAUGUAGGUGCUGCAUGGUUGU
This 259-nucleotide ribosomal RNA is filed under the name uncultured bacterium. RNAcentral's name for it is "partial 16S ribosomal RNA". It matches the Rfam family "Bacterial small subunit ribosomal RNA", at positions 795 to 1052 of the family's 1533-position model. The record is from RNAcentral.